This is a long non-coding RNA of Sinocyclocheilus anshuiensis, 1599 nucleotides long. RefSeq lists it as uncharacterized. The transcript has 3 exons. The record is from RefSeq and is a predicted model, not a curated record. Lineage: Eukaryota; Metazoa; Chordata; Actinopteri; Cypriniformes; Cyprinidae.
CUGGGAUGAACUGAGGAUGAGCACAUUCUCAGCACAUUUUCAUUUUUAGUGAAGUAUUCCCUUAACGUGUACUCAGAAGUAGCGCAGCUCAGUGAAAUUUCACGAGCGAAAUCCAGUCAGUUCAAAAGGAGUUGUGUGAUCUGGAGUUUCGCGUGAGGAUUUUGUUCAUGUUCAGGUUGAUCAUGCGGAUUCACCAACAUAAAGCAGCUUGGUUUGAAAGUGACUUCUGUGUGAGCUGUGCUUUAUAAAUCACUACUGAUAAUAGACUGGAGCUUUUUCACCCAUGCAAUCUAAUGUGACCGCACCUUUAGACACUGUGUGACCCACAUGAUGACUGGUGUUUAGGUGGCGGGUUCAUCUAAAAUAGAUUCUGCAGAACAUUUACUGAUCAGAACUGCAGUUUAUGGGGCGAUUUCAGAAACUGCCCAGGUCUGAAUGAACUCAGUCUGACACUGAUGUAAAAAUGUAUAUAUGCUAUGUAAAUGUAUGCCUUAUCUCAAGCUCAGAAUAGAGUCUGCAGGAUGGACCAGAGCUUGUUUUACAUAAGGAACCACAACUAGACCAGCUGGACUCCCUCUUGAAAACAUGAAGACACACACAACAUGACAGAACUCCAAAGACAAAUGUAAGAGAAGGUCAAAAUUGUGAGAGAAGUCACUUUAUUCCUCUGACUAAUGCACAAUUAAACUGCCGUGCCAUAUGGAGUAUAGAGGAGGCACAAAGGCUGUAACACAGAAGGUUAAAUAAGAUGGGCAGGGCGAUGACGAUUCAUGAUCCACAACUUUCAUUUUGGCACAUAGCGGUCUGUGAUUGGCGCAUCAGAAUCGUUCUUUGAUAAGGAUUGGCUGUUUACACGAGGAGGCGGGACUUAAGCGAUCAGCCGCAGGACAGCUCGUACAGAAUGAGCCACUAGUAGAAGAGCGAGCGGUGCUGGAGAUGUUAUAACUGCUCCUCCUGAGAACGCACCUCCGAGACGGAAAGGAUUUGGAGGCUGUUUACCACCAAACAUAAUCUUAUAAAACUAGAGCUGCAGUGUUGCAUGGAUAUAGGAACUCCAGCAGGCAUUCAGUCAUUCGGGCUCUGCAGACGCUGUUGUGCAUCUCUGAUCUGGCCUACAUUCAGCAGCACCAGCACCAGCACCAGCAUCACUCCACUGAAGGAAGAGCCCAGAUCAGAUUAGCCCCAAACAAACAUCAGACAGGAAGAGGAACUGAUGUUGCAGCUCACACUGGGAUUAUGUGCCGUAAGAGCUUCAGUCAGUCUAAGGAUGCUUUUGAGACUCAAACAUAAGAUCAUAACCACAACACACCAUAUGGCUCUUUCAUGUCAUAUUUAUUUAUCUAUCACAGGUCCUGCUAUAGUCUGAGACCACUACUGAAAAUGUUUCUGUUUUGCUUCUUCUUCUUUUUUUUUUAAAUGUAUAUCUUCAUACCAUUUUUUAUUUGUAUAAGUUAUAUUAUCAGCAUAACAGUGAAAUUGAAAAGUCAAGCACAAUGUUUCAUAUCACAUGAUUUCAUAGGUCACACAGGAGUCCCACAGUCAUGAAUCAUUGGGCAAUGUCAGGAAAUUUUAAAAUGGUAAAUAGUAGGGAUGGGGAAG